UACCAGCACCCCGAGUGGUCGGGACGUUUAUUGGGCGUAAAGCGCACGUAGGCGGCUUUGUAAGUUAGAGGUGAAAGCCCAGGGCUUAACCCUGGAAUUGCCUUUAAGACUGCAUCGCUAGAAUCGUGGAGAGGUGAGUGGAAUUCCGGGUGUAGCGGUGGAAUGCGUAGAGAUCCGGAAGAACACCGGUGGCGAAGGCGGUCUGCUGGGGUAAUGCUGACACUGAUGCGCGACAGCGUGGGGAGCAAACAGG
RNAcentral lists this ribosomal RNA (253 nucleotides) under uncultured bacterium. RNAcentral's name for it is "partial 16S ribosomal RNA". The stretch from base 27 to 253 matches the Rfam family "Bacterial small subunit ribosomal RNA", at positions 550 to 776 of the family's 1533-position model. The record is from RNAcentral.